GGCCGCGAAUUUCCGCCCUUAGAGUUUGAUUCUGGCUCAGGACGAACGCUGGCGGCGUGCCUAAUACAUGCAAGUCGAGCGAUGAUUAAAGAUAGCUUGCUAUUUUUAUGAAGAGCGGCGAACGGGUGAGUAACGCGUGGGAAAUCUGCCGAGUAGCGGGGGACAACGUUUGGAAACGAACGCUAAUACCGCAUAACAAUGAGAAUCGCAUGAUUCUUAUUUAAAAGAAGCAAUUGCUUCACUACUUGAUGAUCCCGCGUUGUAUUAGCUAGUUGGUAGUGUAAAGGACUACCAAGGCGAUGAUACAUAGCCGACCUGAGAGGGUGAUCGGCCACACUGGGACUGAGACACGGCCCAGACUCCUACGGGAGGCAGCAGUAGGGAAUCUUCGGCAAUGGGGGCAACCCUGACCGAGCAACGCCGCGUGAGUGAAGAAGGUUUUCGGAUCGUAAAACUCUGUUGUUA
This 465-nucleotide ribosomal RNA is filed under the name uncultured bacterium. RNAcentral describes it as "bacterial SSU rRNA". It matches the Rfam family "Bacterial small subunit ribosomal RNA", at positions 1 to 441 of the family's 1533-position model. The record is from RNAcentral.